This 380-nucleotide ribosomal RNA is filed under the name uncultured crenarchaeote. Its description in RNAcentral is "bacterial SSU rRNA". It matches the Rfam family "Archaeal small subunit ribosomal RNA", at positions 471 to 851 of the family's 1478-position model. Lineage: Archaea; Thermoproteati; Thermoproteota. The record is from RNAcentral.
UAAAACCAGCACCUCAAGUGGUCAGGAUGAUUAUUGGGCCUAAAGCAUCCGUAGCCGGUUCUGUAAGUUUUCGGUUAAAUCUGUACGCUCAACGUACAGGCUGCCGGGAAUACUGCAGAACUAGGGAGUGGGAGAGGUAGACGGUACUCGGGAGGAAGGGGUAAAAUCCUUUGAUCUUUCGAUGACCACCUGUGGCGAAGGCGGUCUACCAGAACACGUCCGACGGUGAGGGAUGAAAGCUGGGGGAGCAAACCGGAUUAGAUACCCGGGUAGUCCCAGCUGUAAACUAUGCAAACUCAGUGAUGCAUUGACUUGUGGUCAAUGCAGUGCUGCAGGGAAGCCGUUAAGUUUGCCGCCUGGGAAGUACGUACGCAAGUAUG